UAAUUUGACAAACACACUCAAUAUGCCUGAUCUCAUCUGAUCUCCAAAGCUAAGCAGGGUGGGGCCUGGUUAGUACUUGGAUGGGAGACUACUAUUUUUUCUACGUGAAUGAAUGAU
This 117-nucleotide ribosomal RNA is filed under the name Microcebus murinus (gray mouse lemur). Lineage: Eukaryota; Metazoa; Chordata; Mammalia; Primates; Cheirogaleidae. The record is from RNAcentral.